Molecule: ribosomal RNA, 498 nt
Filed under: uncultured bacterium
Lineage: Bacteria
Description: partial 16S ribosomal RNA
Rfam family: Bacterial small subunit ribosomal RNA
Source: RNAcentral
GACGAACGCUGGCGGCGUGCCUAAUACAUGCAAGUCGAACGAGAGCGACCGGUGCUUGCCCUGGUCAAUCUAGUGGCGAACGGGUGAGUAACACGUGGGUAACCUGCCCAUCAGAGGGGGAUAACAUCCGGAAACGGAUGCUAAAACCGCAUAGGUCUUCGAGCCGCAUGGCUUGAAGAGGAAAAGAGGCGCAAGCUUCUGCUGAUGGAUGGACCCGCGGUGCAUUAGCUAGUUGGUGAGGUAACGGCUCACCAAGGCCGUGAUGCAUAGCCGACCUGAGAGGGUGAUCGGCCACAUUGGGACUGAGACACGGCCCAAACUCCUACGGGAGGCAGCAGUAGGGAAUCUUCCGCAAUGGACGCAAGUCUGACGGAGCAACGCCGCGUGAGUGAAGAAGGUUUUCGGAUCGUAAAACUCUGUUGUUAGUGAAGAACAAGUGCUAGAGUAACUGUUAGCGCCUUGACGGUAUCUAACCAGAAAGCCACGGCUAACUACGUG